UCCGUUGUGGUCUAGUUUUUAGGAUUUGCUGUUUUCACCCGCAAGGCCCGGGUUCGAAUCCCCUCUACGGAA
This is a non-coding RNA of Ascaris suum (pig roundworm), 72 nucleotides long. Lineage: Eukaryota; Metazoa; Nematoda; Chromadorea; Rhabditida; Ascarididae. The record is from Rfam.